GCAGCCAUGCUCUGUGUGUGUGUGUGUUUGUGUCUGUGUCCAGUUGGUGGUGACAGAACCAUUUUGGAGUUGUCUUUGUCCAGCCUCUCCAGCUGUAUUGCAUUUUUUUGAGAUGUAAUUAAUUUACAUACCGCAAAGCCCACCCUUUAAAGUGUCAGUUCAGUGUGUGGCAGAUGCACAGUGAUGCAGCCAUCCUGAUAGCUAGCCUGUGUGUUACCAUCGCCCCCGAAGAAACCAAGGACUCAUGGCCGCGACUCUGCAUCCCGCCCUCUCUCCAGUUCCCAGUAACCAGGGAGCUGCUUUCUGUCUCUAGGGAUUUGCCUUUUGGGACCUUCCAUACGGAUGGACUCACAAGAUUUGUGGCUUUUUUGUGGCUUAGCUUAACGUUUUCAAACGCAUCCAUUUACAGGGGAAUCAACCGAGGCCUGAGAAAGUCCAGGCCGCCUGUCCUGUGAGGUGCAGGGUUGGGGUGGGGACUGAUUUGGGGUUAAAUUACAUCGUCUGUUUCCUUUUCACUCCAGGGAGUGGCCAAGCGGGGGUGGGGGCAGGGAUGGGGCUCUGCCCCCCAGUGCCGUGGCUGUGGGGGAGACUCCGACCCCAUGAGGGGGACACGGGACUCUUCUCUGAGUGCUCUGUGACCAGCCCCACCUGGAUCUGCCACUCCCUGCAGGGGUCACAGCGUCCUCUUGGACGCCAGCCUCGGAACCUCCACAUGUGCCGGGAAAACGGAGUUUAUGGAGCAUUUCCCACCCUGGCAGUGGCAGCGGCCAGUCGGCCCGGUCGCUCACUCGCCAUUUCUACCCGGGGACCCCUCUCAGGAGGAAAGGGUCGUAUCCUAGAGUGAGGCAGAGCGAGUUAAGUGGCUUCAGAGUCUGACAACUGGUUUCAAAUGUUCCCCAUUUGCUUUCUCAAGAUUUGGGAAGUUAAUGAGCCUCUCCUAAGAAUCAGUCUCCCCACCAGCAAAACAGAGCAGGCUGCUUGUGUACCACGUGACCUGGGCUUACUGUGUGACAGCUGAAGGCGAUGUGUGUCCAGCAGCGACCGGGGGACCCAAGCGCCGGUCCUCUGCUUUCCAGAAAAACUCGAGUAGUCAGUGAGCACUGAGCCUGAGCAGCCCAGGGAAACGACGUGGGCCUCGCCCCCAGGCAGGAAAGCAGUGGGGUUGGGAGGGACCUGACUCGGGUGCUGAGAGGAGAUGAGGGCGGGGGACAGGGCUUUCCAUCUCCAUUUCUGACAGGCCCAGGCGUGCCCCCGCUCCGACCGAGCUCACAUCAAUCACGAGGGCCAAGGACGGACCAUGCUGGUGCCCCCUGACGUCUGAGCUCAGGGAGGCAGGAUGGUGACCCCAUGCCUCCUGGGGAGGAUUUGCGUUUUGAACUGGACCUGGCCAGGAACCCAGGCGAACAUCAGUUUGGACAGAGAAAUAGGAGCGAGGGAGUUACAGCGACAGAGGAUCCAGAAUUGGACCGCAGUCCUGCUGAAGCCUGGGCCUUGGUCCCCUUUCGUGCUGAAGCCUUUGUGUUCGGCUCCGAGCGGGUGGUGACCUUGAGGACCUUGGCACAGCCUGAUUGAGUGGCUCGGUGUACCCCGGGGCCACUGGGCAGCAGCUCCGCCUCCAGAAGGGCUGUAGGCUAAGAACUCGUAGACCACGAAGGUGACACCGUCUGCCAGCCUCACGGCCGUGACACUGCAGGGAGACGAGAGACCCGCAUCAGUGGAGGGACCGGGCUGCCACCUGCCUGCUUGUUCAGGCCCCUCCCCUCUGCACCAGACGGGGCGUCCUCAGAGCCAGUCCCCGGGGGGCUCUGAGACCCUGGAAACGCAAGGUUGGUAGAAGCCACAGUGGCAGGAGUGGUCCAGGACAAGCGACUUGUCCCCACCCCGAGGCUACUUCAGAACAUGUGACCUUCCUCAUCAGAACCACCCAAAGCCUCCACAUGGUCUGGGAACCUCCACUUGCCGUGGGUGCGGCCCUAAAAAGACAAAAGACAAAAAAUGUUAAGCAGAGGAAGGGGGCGGGGAUGUUGCCAGUGAGAAAUUUCCCAGCGGAGGUUGGUUGAGAGGUUUUAAAAGAAAUAGGCUCAAUUUUGUUUUAGUUUUGGUGUGACUCCCUGAAUCUUCAAUAAAAGUCUACUCAAAAAAAUAAAAGUAUCUCCCACCUGC
Phacochoerus africanus (Common warthog) is the source of this 2163-nucleotide long non-coding RNA. RefSeq lists it as uncharacterized. The transcript has 4 exons. The record is from RefSeq and is a predicted model, not a curated record. Lineage: Eukaryota; Metazoa; Chordata; Mammalia; Artiodactyla; Suidae.